This 45-nucleotide non-coding RNA is filed under the name Schistosoma curassoni. Lineage: Eukaryota; Metazoa; Platyhelminthes; Trematoda; Strigeidida; Schistosomatidae. The record is from RNAcentral.
ACCCAAGUGAUGAGUCCCAAAUAGGACGAAACGCGCGUCAUGGAU